UGCCAGCCGCCGCGGUAACACGUAGGGCGCAAGCGUUGUCCGGAUUUAUUGGGCGUAAAGAGCUCGUAGGCGGUUUCGUAAGUCGGGUGUGAAAACUCAGGGCUCAACUCUGAGACGCCACCCGAUACUGCGAUGACUUGAGUCCGGUAGAGGAGUAGGGAAUUCCUGGUGUAGCGGUGAAAUGCGCAGAUAUCAGGAGGAACACCAGUAGCGAAGGCGCUACUCUGGGCCGGUACUGACGCUGAGGAGCGAAAGCAUGGGGAGCGAACAGGAUUAGAUA
This 280-nucleotide ribosomal RNA is filed under the name uncultured bacterium. RNAcentral describes it as "partial 16S ribosomal RNA". It matches the Rfam family "Bacterial small subunit ribosomal RNA", at positions 506 to 784 of the family's 1533-position model. The record is from RNAcentral.